Molecule: ribosomal RNA, 516 nt
Filed under: uncultured microorganism
Description: bacterial SSU rRNA
Rfam family: Bacterial small subunit ribosomal RNA
Source: RNAcentral
GAGUUUGAUCCUGGCUCAGAUUGAACGCUGGCGGCAGGCCUAACACAUGCAAGUCGAGCGGAUGAAGGGAGCUUGCUCCUGGAUUCAGCGGCGGACGGGUGAGUAAUGCCUAGGAAUCUGCCUGGUAGUGGGGAUAACGUCCGGAAACGGGCGCUAAUACCGCAUACGUCCUGAGGGAGAAAGUGGGGGAUCUUCGGACCUCACGCUAUCAGACGAGCCUAGGUCGGAUUAGCUAGUUGGUGGGGUAAAGGCCUACCAAGGCGACGAUCCGUAACUGGUCUGAGAGGAUGAUCAGUCACACUGGAACUGAGACACGGUCCAGACUCCUACGGGAGGCAGCAGUGGGGAAUAUUGGACAAUGGGCGAAAGCCUGAUCCAGCCAUGCCGCGUGUGUGAAGAAGGUCUUCGGAUUGUAAAGCACUUUAAGUUGGGAGGAAGGGCAGUAAGUUAAUACCUUGCUGUUUUGACGUUACCAACAGAAUAAGCACCGGCUAACUUCGUGCCAGCCGCCGCGGU